ACAUCCGGGUGUGGGGUGGUGUGCGCAUGCGCGACAUCCGGGGAAUCCACGGGUGACAUCCGGGUACUGCGCGGACGCCGCAUGCGCAAACGUAAAGCACGAUCAGUACGCAUGCGCAACAUCCGGGAAUCAGAAAAGAACAUACGGGUAUUGAGGGCAGGGCGCAUGCGUAGUACCGGAUGCGAAUAAUACGCAUGCGUAACAUCCGGGGAUUCAGGGUUUCAUCCGGGUAUUAAGGGACGAGCGCAUGCGCAGCAGUGGAAAAAGAAUAGUACGCAUGCGCAACAUCCGGGUAAUGAAAGGGAAGAUUAGUGUAUUGAGGGUAAAGCGCAUGCGCAAAGGUCAAACGCGAAUAAUACGCAUGCGCAACAUCCGGGUAAUGCAAAGGAACAUCCGGGUGUUGAGGGCAUUGCGCAUGCGCGGUGGUUGAAAGGGAAUAGUGCGCAUGCGCGUUAUCCGGGUGCUAGAAAUAGACAUCCGGGUAUCUUAGUUGCGCAUGCGCGGUAUCACGGUUAACCACUGCGCAUGCGCAACAUCCGGGAACUCCGUGCCUCAACCAGGGACCGCCAACAUCACGUGUCCACCGCAACGGUCAACCGGGGCGCCAACAUCCGGGCACCGGGAUCACAAAAAGAAGGGCAGAUUUGGGCCAAUCGUAAACGUCGGGAACGAAGGAUUCGUAUUCAUAAGUCCAAACUUUGGAACGAACGGGAAAGACGGGGGGUUGGAGGACUUCCGGAGGUGUUGGAGGACUCAGCGACACCCAUAGGAGGAGGCGGCAGCCGUUGGAGGACUCAACGACCCCCAUAGGAGGACUCAAAAGCCAUAGGAGGACCCAACAACUCCCAUAGAACAACUCAACACCCACAGGAGGACCCAACAACCCCCAUAGGAGGACUCAAAACCCGUUGGAGGACUCAACAACCCCCCGUAGGAGGACUCAAAACCCAUAGGAGGACUCAACGACCCCCGCUGGAGGACUCAACACCCAUAGAAGGAUCCAAUGACCCCCAUAGGAGGACUCAAAACCUGUUGGAGGACCCAAUGACCCCCGCUGGAGGACUCAACACCCAUAGGAGGAUCUAAUGACCCCCAUAGGAGGACUCAAAACCUGUUGGAGGACUCAACAACCCCCCGUAGGAGGACUCCAAACCCCUUGGAGGACCAACGACCCCCAUAGGAGAACUCAACACCCAUAGAAAGACUCCAAACCCCCUUGGAGGACCCACCGACGCCCAUAGGAGUACCCAACACCCACAGGACGACUCAAAACCCCUCGGAGGACCCAACAACCCCCAUAGAACAACUCAAAACCCACUGGAGGACCCAACAACCCCCAUAAGAGGACUCAACACCCAUAGGAGGACUCCAAACCCCCUUGGAGGACCCAACGACCCACAUAGGAGGACCCAACACCCACAGGACGACUCAAAACCCCUCGGAGGACCCAGCGACCCCCAUAGAACAACUCAACGCCCACAGGAGGACUCAAAACCCCUUGGAGGACCAACAACCCUCAUGGAACAACUCAACACCCACAGGACAACUCAACACUCAUAGGAGGACCCAACAACCCCCAUAGGAGGACUCCAAACCCCUUGGAGGACCCAACACCCAUAGGAGGACUCCAAACCCCCUUGGAGGAUCCAAGGACCUCCAUAGAACAACUCAACACCCACAGAAUGACUCAACACCCCCAGAAAGCCUCAAAGACCCCACAGGAGGACUCAACACCCAUAGGAGGACCCAACACCCAUAGAAAAACCCAACACCCAUAGGAGGACCCAACAACUCCCAUAGAACAACUCAA
Molecule: long non-coding RNA, 1810 nt
Organism: Phasianus colchicus (ring-necked pheasant)
Lineage: Eukaryota; Metazoa; Chordata; Aves; Galliformes; Phasianidae
Source: Ensembl